AAGAGGAGAACAUAUAAGACACUGUCUCACUGUUACCUUGGUCUCGGGAUCCUUUCAAUGCUGUUGAAUUGGAGGUCCUGAUCUUCUCUUACUCCUUAAUACUGAGAUUUUGUAGCUCAUUGUUCCUGGACUUCUUCAACCUCUCAAGUGGAAUUUAUUCCCUGAUCAAGCCCAAGAAGGAAAUGCUCCAGGAAUAUGUGAAGAAAAAUCAGGCCAAACGGCCUUGUCUGAUGAUCAUCUGUACCUUUACUGAUCUUCGAUUUUUCUCAAGAAAAAAGAAGGGGGACCUAAGUCCUGGAUAUGACUAUUGGGUCCUGAACGCCAUUAAGAAGGGCUGACAGAUUUCUCACUGGGGGUACAAUAUUAUUAUACCAAAGGACAAUUUUGAGGUGAAGGAAGGAAACAAGCAUUUAUUAAGUGUCUACUAUGUGCCAGAAGCACUUUACAAAUAUUAUUUCACUGGAUUCUCACAACAUCCCUGGAUGGUGGAAGCGAUCUCAUCGCAAGAACUCCAGGCACUGUCAGCAUCCAUAAUGGAAGAACUAGUGAGCCUGAGAAUCCUAAUCUCAGUUUUCCUGGACCGAACAUUGAGAUUUCAUGUUUCCUUUCCCAUGAGUCCUCGGCAGCAUUGGACUUUCCAUUUGAAAGAGCACAGUGUUAGGAUUAGCGAGACUGGCCUGUGUGUCUGCUGAGCCAAGGGCAAUUGAAGCUCUGUCUGCCCAGGGGAAGACAGAAUCUAGGAAGUGAAAUUAUAAUGACUUACAUAGAAAUAAAAGCUGUUCCAUCUACUGGGAGCCCACAGGAAGAACAGGCCGAACUCUUGCUUAUUUCUGUUGUGGAACUGAUUGAUUUAAUCAAAAGAAGCCAUUUCAUCUUUGGACUGGCUCCCCCCAUUUUUGGAGGAACACGUGUGAUUUGGAGGCUAUGAUGAGAUUUUCCCCAAGCUGUCUGUGUAAAUGACCGACAGUCAAGUGGAGGAGGUGUUGGGCAGGGGUGGGUCUUUUGGGUCUCACAUUCUCCAAAUGCUUACAGAAGGGGAAUGGAAUCACACAGUCAUUGAUUUAGAGCUAAAAGGGACCUUAGGCAUAAUUGAAGCUAAUCCACUCAUAAGUGAGCAAAUAAAGAUGUGUGGGAAAGCAAUUUGUCCAGUCACAGUGGCUAAUUAGCAUGGAAGAAGGAAAUACAUAGGUACACACAUAAAAUUUAUAUAUAAACACACGUAUACCACACAUAUGUAUGUAUACAUGUAGCUAUGUAUACAUACAGACAUGCAUAUAUAUAUAUAUAUAUAUAUAUACUUGUAUGUAUCAUAUAUUUUAAGCUGGACAUUAUGCAAAGCAUAAUUUUUUCUUUUAAUUUUUCUUUCUCUUCCUUUCC
Long non-coding RNA from Sarcophilus harrisii (Tasmanian devil), 1377 nucleotides. RefSeq lists it as uncharacterized. The transcript has 3 exons. The record is from RefSeq and is a predicted model, not a curated record. NCBI's taxonomy places the organism in Eukaryota, Metazoa, Chordata, Mammalia, Dasyuromorphia, Dasyuridae.